ACCUCGCCAGAAACAUGAACUCAAGUUUACUCUACAGAGAAACAGAAUAUUUACUAUACCGUUGCAAACUCCUCGAUCUGUGAUAAACAUUGUCUGAAACACUGCAGAAGGUAAAAAGAAAAAAGAAAAAAAGCUGUUUGUCUGUAACUAUGGCGAUUCUAUGAAACAGAAUUAUCAUUUCUUGGAAAUAUGCAGAGAAAAUGGAAGAAACUACUUCCCUACAUGAAAAAUGAUUCCAACAACAGAAAGAUGUACCCAUAUAUUCACACGCAAUACACUGUCUCAUAGUGACUUGAAUUAUUGGAAAAUCUACAUCGACUUACAAUUCCAGUGAAAUAAUGGAUAUGAGAUAUACGUAACAGUUGGCACAUC
Molecule: long non-coding RNA, 372 nt
Organism: Octopus bimaculoides (California two-spot octopus)
Lineage: Eukaryota; Metazoa; Mollusca; Cephalopoda; Octopoda; Octopodidae
Source: RefSeq, a predicted model, not a curated record